AAUGAAGUGCCUGAAGUUAAAGGAACAUCUUGAUAGGGGGGAUCAUGUGAAUAUCACCUUCAUUA
Molecule: transfer RNA, 65 nt
Filed under: Mordella atrata
Lineage: Eukaryota; Metazoa; Arthropoda; Insecta; Coleoptera; Mordellidae
Description: tRNA-Ile
Source: RNAcentral